RNAcentral lists this ribosomal RNA (220 nucleotides) under uncultured bacterium. Its description in RNAcentral is "partial 16S ribosomal RNA". It matches the Rfam family "Bacterial small subunit ribosomal RNA", at positions 32 to 262 of the family's 1533-position model. The record is from RNAcentral.
AAUCAACGCUGGCGGCGUGCCUAACACAUGCAAGUCGCACGAGAAAGUGGAGCAAUCCAUGAGUAAAGUGGCGCACGGGUGAGUAACACGUGAAUAAUCUACCUCCGAGUGGGGAAUAACUGAGAGAAAUCUUAGCUAAUACCGCAUAACACUUACGAGUCAAAGCAGCAAUGCGCUUGGAGAGGAGUUCGCGGCCGAUUAGUUAGUUGGCGGGGUAAGU